Molecule: ribosomal RNA, 329 nt
Filed under: uncultured eukaryote
Lineage: Eukaryota
Description: partial 18S ribosomal RNA
Rfam family: Eukaryotic small subunit ribosomal RNA
Source: RNAcentral
CCCUUAGAUGUUCUGGGCCGCAUGCGCGCUACACUGAUGCAUUCAACGAGUCUAAAACCUGCUCUGAUAGGGGUGGGUAAUCUUUUGAAUGUGCAUCGUGAUUGGGAUAGAUGAUUGCAAUUUUUCAUCUUCAACGAGGAAUGCCUAGUAAACGCAAGUCAUCAGCUUGCAUUGAUUACGUCCCUGCCCUUUGUACACACCGCCCGUCGCUCCUACCGAUUGAAUGAUCCGAUGAAUAUCAUGGAUUGAGGAUGCAAGUAGGUUCGCCUAUCUUCAUCUUCGAGAAGUGAAGUAAAUCUUAUCAUUUAGAGGAAGGAGAAGUCGUAACA